This 383-nucleotide ribosomal RNA is filed under the name uncultured eukaryote. RNAcentral's name for it is "partial 18S ribosomal RNA". It matches the Rfam family "Eukaryotic small subunit ribosomal RNA", at positions 592 to 976 of the family's 1831-position model. The record is from RNAcentral.
CAAUAGCGUAUAUUAAAGUUGUUGCAGUUAAAAAGCUCGUAGUUGGAUUUCUGGUGGGAGCGAUCGGUCUGGCGCUUAGCGCGAGUACUUGCAUCGUCUCCGGCCAUCCUUGGGGAGAGUCUGUCUGGCAUUAAGUUGUCGGGCAGAGGAUCCUCAUCGUUUACUGUGAAAAAAUUAGAGUGUUCAAAGCAGGCUUAUGCCGUUGAAUAUAUUAGCAUGGAAUAAUAAGAUAGGACUUUGGUACUAUUUUGUUGGUUUGCGCACCAAAGUAAUGAUUAAUAGGGACAGUUGGGGGUAUUCGUAUUCCGUUGUCAGAGGAGAAAUUCUUGGAUUUACGGAAGACGAACUACUGCGAAAGCAUUUACCAAGGAUGUUUUCAUUAA